GGGGGGGGGGGGGGGGGGGCGGUGGGCCGGGGGGGCGGGGGGCGGCGCGGGGGGCGGGCUGGCGACGAGUGGCGGCCGGGUGAGUAACGUAGCGGCACGUGCCCAGUCGCUGGGGAUAACUCCGCGAAAUCGUAGCUAAUACCUCAUAGGACCUACGCGUGAAAUCCGCGUAGCACACGCCCUCGCACCAUUUGCUCUACCGACAUCGGAGUAGCUAGGUGGUGAGGUAACGGCUCACCCAGGCGACGUGCCGUAGCUGGUUUGAGAGGACGACCAGCCACACUGGUACUGAGACACGGCCCAGACUCCUACGGGAGGCAGCAGUGGGGAAUUUUGGACAAUGGGGGCAACCCUGAUCCAGCCAUCCCGCGUGUGCGAUGAAGGCCUUCGGGUUGUAAAGCACUUGUGGCAGGAAAGAAACGUCGCGGGCUAAUACCCCGUGGAACUGACGGUACCUGCAGAAUAAGCACCGGCUAACUACGUG
This 484-nucleotide ribosomal RNA is filed under the name uncultured bacterium. RNAcentral's name for it is "partial 16S ribosomal RNA". It matches the Rfam family "Bacterial small subunit ribosomal RNA", at positions 38 to 507 of the family's 1533-position model. The record is from RNAcentral.